CCUACGGGCGGCAGCAGUGAGGAAUAUUGGUCAAUGGACGAGAGUCUGAACCAGCCAAGUAGCGUGAAGGAUGACUGCCCUAUGGGUUGUAAACUUCUUUUAUAUGGGAAUAAAAUGUUCCACGUGUGGGAGUUUGUAUGUACCAUAUGAAUAAGGAUCGGCUAACUCCGUGCCAGCAGCCGCGGUAAUACGGAGGAUCCGAGCGUUAUCCGGAUUUAUUGGGUUUAAAGGGAGCGUAGGUGGAUUGUUAAGUCAGUUGUGAAAGUUUGCGGCUCAACCGUAAAAUUGCAGUUGAAACUGGCAGUCUUGAGUACAGUAGAGGUAGGCGGAAUUCGUGGUGUAGCGGUGAAAUGCGUAGAUAUCACGAAGAACUCCGAUUGCGAAGGCAGCUCACUGGACUGCAACUGACACUGAGGCUCGAAAGUGUGGGUAUCAAACAGGAUUAGAUACCCGAGUAGUC
Molecule: ribosomal RNA, 460 nt
Filed under: uncultured bacterium
Lineage: Bacteria
Description: partial 16S ribosomal RNA
Rfam family: Bacterial small subunit ribosomal RNA
Source: RNAcentral